AAUGGCCUAACGGCCGAACCAGCAACUUGGAGGAAUGAAUAGCGAAAGCUAAUUACAAAAAUGUAAUAAUGACUAUGUCAUAUAAAAUUCUGGGCAUUAUUUUGAUAAUGACAAGAUAUGUCUAAAGGUCUUGACCAAUUCACGUGCCAGCAGUCGCGGUAACACGUGUAAGACAAGUGUUAUUCAUCUUUAAUGGGUUUAAAGGGUACCUAGACGGUAAAAUAAGCCAAUAAAGGGUACUAUUUUUACUAGAGUUUUAUGGGAGGUGUGAACAACUAGGUAUGGAAGGUGUAGGGAUGAAAUACUAUGACAUCUGACGGACAGUCAACGGCGUAAGCGUUAUCCUAUGUAAAAACUGACGUUGAGGGACGAAGGCUUGAGUCACCAAAAGGAUUAGAUACCCAAGCAGUACAAUGCAGACAAUGAUGAAUGCCAUAUAUAAGAUAUGUAAUUUUAUAUAUAAAUGAAAGUGUAAGCAUUCCACCUCAAGAGUAAUGUGGCAACGCAGAAACUGAAAUCAUUAGACCGCUUCUGAAACCAGUAGUGAAGUAUGUUGUUUAAUUUGAUGAUCCGCAAACAACCUUACCACAAUUUGAAUAUUUAUAUAUUUAAUAUAUAUUUACAAGCGUUGCACGGCUGUCUUCAGUUAAUGUCGUGAGAUUUUGGUUAGAUCCAUUUAAUUAACGUAAACCCUUGCUUUAUUUUUUACAUAAAGUAGAUCACCAUUACAAUGGAAAUGAUAUAAGGGACUAAGACAAGUCAUCAUGGCCUUAAUAUUGUGGGCUAUAGACGUGCCACGUAUAUCUUGACAAAGAGAUGCAAAAUUGUGAAAUUUAGCUAAUCUCAGAAAAUAGAUAAUAAUAU
This 864-nucleotide ribosomal RNA is filed under the name Thelenella muscorum. Its description in RNAcentral is "SSU rRNA". It matches the Rfam family "Bacterial small subunit ribosomal RNA", at positions 370 to 1294 of the family's 1533-position model. The record is from RNAcentral. Lineage: Eukaryota; Fungi; Ascomycota; Lecanoromycetes; Thelenellaceae.